AUGGCAUCCCAAGCCGUCGAGAGCCACCGUGCCGGCGCGGAGGUAUUCCACGGCGACGACGCCAUGUGCAAGAAGAAGUCGGUGGAGGUGCUGGAGGAGCUGGGCCUCCCGACGGGCCUGCUGCCCCUGGAGGACAUGGAGGAGUUCGGGUACAACCGCGCGGCCGGCUUCAUGUGGCUCGUGCAGAGGAAGAAGACGGAGCACACGUUCAAGAAGGUGAAGCAGACCGUGUCGUACGCCGGCGAGGUGACGGCCUUCGUCGAGCCGGGAAAGCUGAGGAAGAUCACCGGCGUGAAGACCAAGGAGCUGUUUCUGUGGCUCAGCGUGGUGGAGGUGUAUGUUGUUGAGGGCCUGGCCCCUGGCAAGGUCACCUUCAAGACCGGCACUGGUCUCUCCGACACCUUUGAUGCAGCUGCUUUUGCCCUUGGAGAAUGA
RNAcentral lists this ribosomal RNA (435 nucleotides) under Triticum aestivum (bread wheat). RNAcentral describes it as "partial small subunit ribosomal RNA". The record is from RNAcentral. Lineage: Eukaryota; Viridiplantae; Streptophyta; Magnoliopsida; Poales; Poaceae.